AUUGAACGCUGGCGGCAGGCCUAACACAUGCAAGUCGAACGAGUGGCGGACGGGUGAGUAAUGUCUGGGAAACUGCCCGAUGGUGGGGGAUAACUACUGGAAACGGUAGCUAAUACCGCAUACCAUCGGAUGUGCCCAGAUGGGAUUAGCUAGUGGGUGGGGUAACGGCUCACCCAGGCGACGAUCCCUAGCUGGUCUGAGAGGAUGACCAGCCAAACUGGAACGUAGACACGGUCCGGACGCCUAUGGUAGGCAGCAGUGGGGAAUGUUGCACAAUUGGCGCAAGCCUGAUGCAGCCAUGCCGCGUGUAUGAAGAAGGCCUUCGGGUUGUAAAGUACUUUCAGCGAGGAGGCGUUACUCGCAGAAGAAGCACCGGCUAACUCCGUGCCAACAGCCGCGGUAAUAC
This 406-nucleotide ribosomal RNA is filed under the name uncultured bacterium. Its description in RNAcentral is "partial 16S ribosomal RNA". It matches the Rfam family "Bacterial small subunit ribosomal RNA", at positions 30 to 526 of the family's 1533-position model. The record is from RNAcentral.